This 520-nucleotide ribosomal RNA is filed under the name uncultured Glomus. RNAcentral describes it as "SSU rRNA". It matches the Rfam family "Eukaryotic small subunit ribosomal RNA", at positions 569 to 1090 of the family's 1831-position model. Lineage: Eukaryota; Fungi; Glomeromycota; Glomeromycetes; Glomerales; Glomeraceae. The record is from RNAcentral.
AGCAGCCGCGGUAAUUCCAGCUCCAAUAGCGUAUAUUAAAGUUGUUGCAGUUAAAAAGCUCGUAGUUGAAUUUCGGGAUCAAUACGUCGGUCGUGCUUCGGUACGUACUGGCGUCAUUGAUUUCUCCCUUCUGACGAACCAUGAUGUCAUUAACUUGGUGUCUUGGGAAAUCAGGACUGUUACUUUGAAAAAAAUUAGAGUGUUUAAAGCAGGCUCACGCUUGAAUAUAUUAGCAUGGAAUAAUGAAAUAGGACGUUCGAUCCUAUUUUGUUGGUUUUAGGAUCAACGUAAUGAUUAAUAGGGAUAGUUGGGGGCAUUAGUAUUCAAUUGUCAGAGGUGAAAUUCUUGGAUUUAUUGAAGACUAACUACUGCGAAAGCAUUUGCCAAGGAUGUUUUCGUUAAUCAAGAACGAAAGUUAGGGGAUCGAAGACGAUCAGAUACCGUCGUAGUCUUAACCAUAAACUAUGCCGACUAGGGAUCGGAUGAUGUUAAUUUUUAAUUAGACUCAUUCGGCGCCGUU